Molecule: small nucleolar RNA, 107 nt
Filed under: Olea europaea subsp. europaea
Lineage: Eukaryota; Viridiplantae; Streptophyta; Magnoliopsida; Lamiales; Oleaceae
Source: RNAcentral
AUUCCAUGAUUUGGAUAAUUUCUCAUCGAAUUCUUGAAUAUGUCCAAUACCUCGUGACAACUUUUCCCAUCUCUCUGUUAGAAAGUUUGAAUUUUCAAUCUGAUUUU